UGAGUAGGACAGAUGGUCGCUGCCGCAGGAGCCGAAAGGCGGCGGGAGAGGAAAGUCCGGGCUUCACAGGGCAGGGUGCCAGAUAGCGUCUGGCGGAGGCGACUCCAGGGACAGUGCAACAGAAAUAUACCGCGUGGCGAGGCCAAUGGCUGCAUCACGUAAGGGUGGAAGGGCAGUGUAAGAGACUACCGCCUGGCUGGUAACAGACAGGGCAUAUGUAAACCCCAUCCGAAGCAAGGCCGAACAGAGAGCAUAAGGCGGCCCGUCAGCUCUCGGGUAGGCCGCUUGAGCCCGGUGGCGACACCGGGCCUAGAUAGAUGACCAUCCAACGACAUAACCCGGCUUAUCGUCCUGCUCAGACA
The sequence is a non-coding RNA, 362 nucleotides long. It matches the Rfam family "Bacterial RNase P class A". Rfam says of the family: Ribonuclease P (RNase P) is a ubiquitous endoribonuclease, found in archaea, bacteria and eukarya as well as chloroplasts and mitochondria. Its best characterised activity is the generation of mature 5'-ends of tRNAs by cleaving the 5'-leader elements of precursor-tRNAs. Cellular RNase Ps are ribonucleoproteins. The record is from Rfam.